CCUACGGGGUGCUGCAGUGGGGAAUAUUGGACAAUGGGCGAAAGCCUGAUCCAGCCAUGCCGCGUGUGUGAAGAAGGCCUUCGGGUUGUAAAGCACUUUCAGUGGGGAAGAAAGCCUUGGGGCUAAUACCCUCGAGGAAGGACAUCACCCACAGAAGAAGCACCGGCUAACUCCGUGCCAGCAGCCGCGGUAAUACGGAGGGUGCGAGCGUUAAUCGGAAUUACUGGGCGUAAAGCGCGCGUAGGCGGUCUGAUAAGCCGGUUGUGAAAGCCCCGGGCUCAACCUGGGAACGGCAUCCGGAACUGUCAGGCUAGAGUGCAGGAGAGGAAGGUAGAAUUCCUGGUGUAGCGGUGAAAUGCGUAGAGAUCGGGAGGAAUACCAGUGGCGAAGGCGGCCUUCUGGACUGACACUGACGCUGAGGUGCGAAAGCGUGGGUAGCAAACAGGAUUAGAUACCCGAGUAGUC
Molecule: ribosomal RNA, 465 nt
Filed under: Vreelandella stevensii
Lineage: Bacteria; Pseudomonadati; Pseudomonadota; Gammaproteobacteria; Oceanospirillales; Halomonadaceae
Description: partial 16S ribosomal RNA
Rfam family: Bacterial small subunit ribosomal RNA
Source: RNAcentral